GAUGAACGCUGGCGGCGUGCCUAAUACAUGCAAGUCGAGCGAACAGACGAGGAGCUUGCUUCUCUGACGUUAGCGGCGGACGGGUGAGUAACACGUGGAUAACCUACCUAUAAGACUGGGAUAACUUCGGGAAACCGGAGCUAAUACCGGAUAACAUGUUGAACCGCAUGGUUCAACAGUGAAAGACGGUUUUGCUGUCACUUAUAGAUGGAUCCGCGUCGCAUUAGCUAGUUGGUAAGGUAACGGCUUACCAAGGCAACGAUGCGUAGCCGACCUGAGAGGGUGAUCGGCCACACUGGAACUGAGACACGGUCCAGACUCCUACGGGAGGCAGCAGUAGGGAAUCUUCCGCAAUGGGCGAAAGCCUGACGGAGCAACGCCGCGUGAGUGAAGAAGGUCUUCGGAUCGUAAAACUCUGUUAUUAGGGAAGAACAAAUGUGUAAGUAACUAUGCACGUCUUGACGGUACCUAAUCAGAAAGCCACGGCUAACUACGUG
This 497-nucleotide ribosomal RNA is filed under the name uncultured bacterium. RNAcentral describes it as "partial 16S ribosomal RNA". It matches the Rfam family "Bacterial small subunit ribosomal RNA", at positions 28 to 507 of the family's 1533-position model. The record is from RNAcentral.